RNAcentral lists this ribosomal RNA (408 nucleotides) under uncultured bacterium. RNAcentral's name for it is "bacterial SSU rRNA". It matches the Rfam family "Bacterial small subunit ribosomal RNA", at positions 981 to 1383 of the family's 1533-position model. The record is from RNAcentral.
UUGACAUGUGGUGAGUAGCGAACCGAAAGGGGAGCGACCCGUCAAAUCGGGCCAUCACACAGGUGCUGCAUGGCUGUCGUCAGCUCGUGCCGUGAGGUGUUGGGUUCAGUCCCGCAACGAGCGCAACCCUCGCCCUUUGUUGCCAUCGGGUAAAGCCGGGCACUCUAAGGGGACUGCCAGCGACAAGUUGGAGGAAGGAGAGGAUGACGUCAAGUCAUCAUGGCCUUUAUGCCUAGGGCCACACACGUGCAACAAUGGCCGGUACAGACGGAGGCAAUGCCGAGAGGCGGAGCAAACCCGAGAAAACCGGUCCCAGUUCGGAUUGAGGUCUGCAACUCGACCUCAUGAAGUCGGAAUCGCUAGUAAUCGCAUAUCAGAACGAUGCGGUGAAUACGUUCCCGGGCCUUG